GGGAGAAGGGCCCGGCUGCAGGGAGCUAGACAAGAUGGCUGCUAAUUACCUGUUCCAAAUUGGCAACAUGCUAUUGUUCAUAACCUCUACGUACAAGGUUAAUAUGGUCCAGAAAAGCAGAAGAAAGAAAAACAGGAGAGCAGUAGCAGAACUACUAGUAGGAUGCUUUGUUUAUACUGAACUAAAUGACAGCUCUGUGCAAGAUCAUCUGUACACUGAAAGGAUACUACUGAGGACUGGCAAACAGUCUUUAGUUUGGUACAGGUGCCACCUACGUAGUAAACGUCAGCUAACAAAGAAAAUCUAACUUUU
Long non-coding RNA from Mauremys reevesii (Reeves's turtle), 312 nucleotides. RefSeq lists it as uncharacterized. Lineage: Eukaryota; Metazoa; Chordata; Testudines; Geoemydidae. The record is from RefSeq and is a predicted model, not a curated record. The transcript has 2 exons.